RNAcentral lists this ribosomal RNA (470 nucleotides) under uncultured Alphaproteobacteria bacterium. Its description in RNAcentral is "bacterial SSU rRNA". It matches the Rfam family "Bacterial small subunit ribosomal RNA", at positions 9 to 524 of the family's 1533-position model. Lineage: Bacteria; Pseudomonadati; Pseudomonadota; Alphaproteobacteria. The record is from RNAcentral. RNAcentral also lists the same sequence under 1 other name.
GAGUUUGAUCAUGGCUCAGAGCGAACGCUGGCGGCAGGCUUAACACAUGCAAGUCGAGCGGGCGUAGCAAUACGUCAGCGGCAGACGGGUGAGUAACGCGUGGGAACGUACCUUUUGGUUCGGAACAACACAGGGAAACUUGUGCUAAUACCGGAUAAGCCCUUACGGGGAAAGAUUUAUCGCCGAAAGAUCGGCCCGCGUCUGAUUAGCUAGUUGGUGAGGUAAUGGCUCACCAAGGCGACGAUCAGUAGCUGGUCUGAGAGGAUGAUCAGCCACAUUGGGACUGAGACACGGCCCAAACUCCUACGGGAGGCAGCAGUGGGGAAUAUUGGACAAUGGGCGCAAGCCUGAUCCAGCCAUGCCGCGUGAGUGAUGAAGGCCCUAGGGUUGUAAAGCUCUUUGUGCGGGAAGAUAAUGACGGUACCGCAAGAAUAAGCCCCGGCUAACUUCGUGCCAGCAGCCGCAGUAAG